Bombina bombina (fire-bellied toad) is the source of this 522-nucleotide long non-coding RNA. RefSeq lists it as uncharacterized. The transcript has 5 exons. NCBI's taxonomy places the organism in Eukaryota, Metazoa, Chordata, Amphibia, Anura, Bombinatoridae. The record is from RefSeq and is a predicted model, not a curated record.
UGUAGGUGAUGCUAAAGUUUUCAGAUCUACAGCACCAGGUGACAUACAGCCAACACUUAGUGUCUAGCUUAUUGUCAAAAGAAAUGUGUCUGUGCCUCCUUUGUUAAACCAGUGUCUUUUUGUGGCCUAAUCAAUCAACAGUAUUCCUCCAGCACUCCAAGAAAGGACACCGCAGACUCCGAUCUAGCAAUGUGAAGUGAGAGGCCAUAAUAUACAGAGAGGUCUUCACCUCAACUGCGUCUGCUGACAUCCAGGCUGCAAGUUGAUUUUGUUUUAUAUACAGAUCUUCAAGCACUGGACAAAAUGUCUACAUGAAACAUUUCUCCAUUGCAUCAGCCCAGGUGUUUUAACAGCUGGAGUACGUGUGUGUUUUGUGCAACUCUGCUGCUCUCACAACUCGUGUACCCAUGGAAAGGGAUUGUCCUUGGCGUUCCUGUUUGAACUAUAAACCUGGCUAUUUAAUAAAAUGCUAAUUAAGUGUUUCUGAUAUCUGUUCUAUUAAUAAAGCUUUGACUUAUCUUA